This 135-nucleotide small nuclear RNA is filed under the name Chelonia mydas (Green sea turtle). RNAcentral describes it as "U2 spliceosomal RNA". It matches the Rfam family "U2 spliceosomal RNA". From Rfam's summary of the family: U2 is a small nuclear RNA (snRNA) component of the spliceosome (involved in pre-mRNA splicing). The record is from Rfam by way of RNAcentral. Lineage: Eukaryota; Metazoa; Chordata; Testudines; Cheloniidae.
AUAUUUAUGGAGGAAAACGAAACACCACCUUUUAUUAAAUGGAUUUUUGAAACAGGGAGAUGGAAUAGGAGCUUGCUCCAUCCACUCCAUGCAUCAACCUGGUAUUACAGUGCUUCCAGGAAUGGUGCACUUCCC